RNAcentral lists this ribosomal RNA (497 nucleotides) under uncultured bacterium. RNAcentral's name for it is "partial 16S ribosomal RNA". It matches the Rfam family "Bacterial small subunit ribosomal RNA", at positions 28 to 507 of the family's 1533-position model. The record is from RNAcentral.
GAUGAACGCUGGCGGCGUGCCUAAUACAUGCAAGUCGAGCGAACAGACGAGGAGCUUGCUCCUCUGAUGUUAGCGGCGGACGGGUGAGUAACACGUGGAUAACCUACCUAUAAGACUGGGAUAACUUCGGGAAACCGGAGCUAAUACCGGAUAAUAUUUUGAACCGCAUGGUUCAAUAGUGAAAGACGGUUUUGCUGUCACUUAUAGAUGGAUCCGCGCCGCAUUAGCUAGUUGGUAAGGUAACGGCUUACCAAGGCAACGAUGCGUAGCCGACCUGAGAGGGUGAUCGGCCACACUGGAACUGAGACACGGUCCAGACUCCUACGGGAGGCAGCAGUAGGGAAUCUUCCGCAAUGGGCGAAAGCCUGACGGAGCAACGCCGCGUGAGUGAUGAAGGUCUUCGGAUCGUAAAACUCUGUUAUUAGGGAAGAACAAAUGUGUAAGUAACUAUGCACGUCUUGACGGUACCUAAUCAGAAAGCCACGGCUAACUACGUG